Pangasianodon gigas (Mekong giant catfish) is the source of this 72-nucleotide non-coding RNA. The record is from the annotation of a GenBank genome assembly. Lineage: Eukaryota; Metazoa; Chordata; Actinopteri; Siluriformes; Pangasiidae.
CAGUGUUCAGUGUUUACCUGCAGUGUUCAGUGUUUAACUACAGUGUUCAGUGUUCUGUUGUCUGGGUUUAAU